This 375-nucleotide ribosomal RNA is filed under the name uncultured Pelotomaculum sp. Its description in RNAcentral is "bacterial SSU rRNA". It matches the Rfam family "Bacterial small subunit ribosomal RNA", at positions 1011 to 1382 of the family's 1533-position model. Lineage: Bacteria; Bacillati; Bacillota; Clostridia; Eubacteriales; Desulfotomaculaceae. The record is from RNAcentral.
UUUUCACCCUCGGGUGACAGGGAGACAGGUGGUGCAUGGUUGUCGUCAGCUCGUGUCGUGAGAUGUUGGGUUAAGUCCCGCAACGAGCGCAACCCCUACGUUUAGUUGCUAACGCGUGAAGGCGAGCACUCUAGACGAACUGCCGUUGACAAAACGGAGGAAGGUGGGGAUGACGUCAAAUCAUCAUGCCCCCUUAUGUUCUGGGCUACACACGUGCUACAAUGGCCGGUACAGACGGACGCAAAGCCGCGAGGUGGAGCAAAUCCUAAAAAAGCCGGUCUCAGUUCGGAUUGCAGGCUGCAAUUCGCCUGCAUGAAGUCGGAAUCGCUAGUAAUCGCAGGUCAGCAUACUGCGGUGAAUACGUUCCCGGGCCUU